This is a non-coding RNA of Protopterus annectens (West African lungfish), 73 nucleotides long. The record is from the annotation of a RefSeq genome assembly. Lineage: Eukaryota; Metazoa; Chordata; Ceratodontiformes; Protopteridae.
GGUUCUGUAGUGUAGUGGUUAUCACGUCCGCUUCACAUGCAGUAGGUCCUGGGUUCGAUUCCCAGUGGAACCA